Molecule: ribosomal RNA, 441 nt
Filed under: uncultured bacterium
Lineage: Bacteria
Description: partial 16S ribosomal RNA
Rfam family: Bacterial small subunit ribosomal RNA
Source: RNAcentral
CCUACGGGAGGCUGCAGUGGGGAAUAUUGCGCAAUGGGGGCAACCCUGACGCAGCAACGCCGCGUGAUUGAAGAAGGCCUUCGGGUUGUAAAGAUCCUUAAUCGGGGACGAAUUUUGACGUUACCCGAAGAAUAAUCUCCGUCUAACUACGUGCCAGCAGCCGUGGUAAUACAUAGGGAGCAAGCGUUAUCCGGAUUUACUGGGUGUAAAGGGCGUGUAGGCGGGCAUGCAAGCCAGAAGUGAAAUUUGGGGGCUUAACCCCCAAACUGCUUUUGGAACUGCGUGUCUUGAGUGAUGGAGAGGCAGGCGGAAUUCGCAGUGUAGCGGUGAAAUGCUUAGAUAUUGGGAGGAACACCAGUGGCGAAGGCAGCCUGCUGAACAUUAACUGACGCUGAGGCGCGAAAGUGUGGGGAGCAAACAGGAUUAGAUACCCCGGUAGUC